RNAcentral lists this ribosomal RNA (350 nucleotides) under uncultured bacterium. Its description in RNAcentral is "bacterial SSU rRNA". It matches the Rfam family "Bacterial small subunit ribosomal RNA", at positions 9 to 353 of the family's 1533-position model. The record is from RNAcentral.
GAGUUUUGAUCAUGGCUCAGGAUGAACGCUAGCGACAGGCUUAACACAUGCAAGUCGAGGGGCAGCACGGUGUAGCAAUACACUGGUGGCGACCGGCGCACGGGUGAGUAACACGUGUGCAACCAACCCCGUACCGGGAGAUAACCCGCGGAAACGUGGACUAACAUCCCAUGAUACUCGAGAGCCGCAUGGCUCUAGAUUUAAAAUUCCGGUGGUACGGGACGGGCACGCGCGACAUUAGGUAGUUGGCGGGGUAAGGGCCCACCAAGCCGACGAUGUCUAGGGGUUCUGAGAGGAAGGUCCCCCACACUGGAACUGAGACACGGUCCAGACUCCUACGGGAGGCAGCA